GGCUCAGUGGCACAACGGUAGCGCGUCUGACUCCAGAUCAGAAGAUUGCGUGUUCAAAUCACGUCCGGGUCA
RNAcentral lists this transfer RNA (72 nucleotides) under Trichonephila inaurata madagascariensis. It matches the Rfam family "tRNA". Rfam says of the family: Transfer RNA (tRNA) molecules are approximately 80 nucleotides in length. Their secondary structure includes four short double-helical elements and three loops (D, anti-codon, and T loops). The record is from Rfam by way of RNAcentral. Lineage: Eukaryota; Metazoa; Arthropoda; Arachnida; Araneae; Nephilidae.